Molecule: small RNA, 132 nt
Filed under: Salmonella enterica
Lineage: Bacteria; Pseudomonadati; Pseudomonadota; Gammaproteobacteria; Enterobacterales; Enterobacteriaceae
Description: RtT sRNA
Rfam family: RtT RNA
About the family: This family represents a bacterial cis-regulatory element known as RtT RNA. The exact function of RtT is unknown although it is thought that it may be involved in changing the cellular response in relation to amino acid starvation.
Source: RNAcentral
UAUCUCUCCAUACGGGGAAGGAUGAGAAACUUCGACCAAGGUUCGAUUCGAGCGUCAGCGAGAAAGCGUUGCCGCAGGCAACGACCCAAAGGGUGAGGAGCGGAGCGACGAAUAAUCCUUCCCCCACCACCA